GUAGGGAAUAUUGGACAAUGGGGGCAACCCUGAUCCAGCGACGCCGCGUGAGUGAUGAAGGCCUUCGGGUCGUAAAGCUCUGUUGCAGGGGAAGAACACAAUGACGGUACCCUGCUAGAAAGGAUCGGCUAACUUCGUGCCAGCAGCCGCGGUAAGACGAGGGAUCCUAGCGUUGUUCGUAAUUAUUGGGCGUAAAGCGGGUGCAGGUGGCUUGGUAAGUCAGAUGUGAAAGCCUGGGGCUUAACCCCAGAAGUGCAUUUGAUACUGCUGAGCUUGAGUGCUGGAGAGGCUAUUAGAAUUCCUGGUGUAGUGGUGAAAUACGUAGAUAUCAGGAGGAAUACCGGAGGCGAAGGCGGAUAGCUGGCCAGACACUGACACUCAGACCCGAAAGCGUGGGGAUCAAACAGGAUUAGAAACCCCGGUAGUCC
RNAcentral lists this ribosomal RNA (428 nucleotides) under uncultured bacterium. RNAcentral's name for it is "bacterial SSU rRNA". It matches the Rfam family "Bacterial small subunit ribosomal RNA", at positions 354 to 796 of the family's 1533-position model. The record is from RNAcentral.